RNAcentral lists this transfer RNA (67 nucleotides) under Marmota monax (woodchuck). Its description in RNAcentral is "tRNA.Ala". It matches the Rfam family "tRNA", at positions 6 to 65 of the family's 71-position model. Rfam says of the family: Transfer RNA (tRNA) molecules are approximately 80 nucleotides in length. The record is from RNAcentral. Lineage: Eukaryota; Metazoa; Chordata; Mammalia; Rodentia; Sciuridae.
GUUAUAGCUCAGUGGUAGAGCACUUGCCUAGCAUGUGUGAGGCACUGGGUUCGAUCCUCAGUGCAUA